UCCCACUAAUGUAAGUGUAGUGGCUAGCACACUCGGCUCACAACCGAGAAAUCUCGGGUUCGAAUCCAGGGCGAGGAA
Halocaridina rubra (Hawaiian volcano shrimp) is the source of this 78-nucleotide non-coding RNA. NCBI's taxonomy places the organism in Eukaryota, Metazoa, Arthropoda, Malacostraca, Decapoda, Atyidae. The record is from the annotation of a GenBank genome assembly.